AGAGUCAAUUGGGCAAUCGCCGCCUCUUUAUUGAGGGGGAGGAAAGUCCGGACUCCAUAGGGAGGGGUGAUGGCUAACGGCCAUCCACGGCGACGUGAGGAAUAGGGCCACAGAGACGAGCGUAUUUAGUUACGGUGAAACGCGGUAACCUCCACCCGGAGCAAUCCCAAGUAAGCAGGCGAUGAGGCGUCCCGCUGAGUCUGCGGGUAGGGAGCUUGAGCCGUCAGGUAACUGCCGGCCUAGAGGAAUGAUUGCCCCUAGAUUGAAAAGUCUAGGCGACAGAAUCCGGCUUAUCGAUUGACUCUGCAC
This 309-nucleotide RNase P RNA is filed under the name Polynucleobacter sp. UB-Piko-W3. Its description in RNAcentral is "RNase P RNA component class A". It matches the Rfam family "Bacterial RNase P class A". From Rfam's summary of the family: Ribonuclease P (RNase P) is a ubiquitous endoribonuclease, found in archaea, bacteria and eukarya as well as chloroplasts and mitochondria. The record is from RNAcentral. Lineage: Bacteria; Pseudomonadati; Pseudomonadota; Betaproteobacteria; Burkholderiales; Burkholderiaceae.